Molecule: ribosomal RNA, 398 nt
Filed under: uncultured bacterium
Lineage: Bacteria
Description: bacterial SSU rRNA
Rfam family: Bacterial small subunit ribosomal RNA
Source: RNAcentral
UACUGCACAAUGGGGGAAACCCUGAUGCAGCGAAGCCGCGCGAGUGAAGAAGUAUUUCGGUAUGUAAAGCUCUAUCAGCAGGGAAGAAAAUGACGGUACCUGAUUAAGAAGCCCCGGCUAACUACGUGCCAGCAGACGCGGAAAUACGUAGGGGGCAAGCGUUAUCCGGAUUUAUUGGGUGUAAAGGGAGCGUAGACGGCAGUACAAGUCUGGAGUGAAAUGCCGGGGCUUAACCCCGGAACUGCUUUGGAAACUGUGCAGCUAGAGUGCAGGAGAGGUAAGUGGAAUUCCUAGUGUAGCGGGGAAAUGCGUAGAUAUUAGGAGGAACACCAGUGGCGAAGGCGGCUUACUGGACUGUAACUGACGUUGAGGCUCGAAAGCGUGGGGAGCAAACAGGA